AACGAACGCUGGCGGCAUGCCUAACACAUGCAAGUCGAACGAAGGCUUCGGCCUUAGUGGCGCACGGGUGCGUAACGCGUGGGAAUCUGCCCCUCGGUUCGGAAUAACAGUUAGAAAUGACUGCUAAUACCGGAUGAUGACGUAAGUCCAAAGAUUUAUCGCCCAAGGAUGAGCCCGCGUAAGAUUAGCUUGUUGGUGGGGUAAUGGCCUACCAAGGCGACGAUCUUUAGCUGGUCUGAGAGGAUGAUCAGCCACACUGGGACUGAGACACGGCCAGACUCCUACGGGAGGCAGCAGUGGGGAAUAUUGGACAAUGGGCGAAAGCCUGAUCCAGCAAUGCCGCGUGAGUGAUGAAGGCCUUAGGGUUGUAAAGCUCUUUUACCAGGGAUGAUAAUGACAGUACCUGGAGAAUAAGCUCCGGCUAACUCCGUGCCAGCAGCCGCCGUAA
RNAcentral lists this ribosomal RNA (448 nucleotides) under uncultured bacterium. RNAcentral describes it as "partial 16S ribosomal RNA". It matches the Rfam family "Bacterial small subunit ribosomal RNA", at positions 29 to 523 of the family's 1533-position model. The record is from RNAcentral.